UGGGGGAUAUUGCACAAUGGGCGAAAGCCUGAUGCAGCGACGCCGCGUGGGGGAUGAAGGCUUUCGGGUUGUAAACCUCUUUCGCUAUCGAACAAGGCCCGCUUAGGGUGGGUUGAGGGUAGGUGGAGAAGAAGCGCCGGCUAACUACGUGCCAGCAGCCGCGGUAAUACGUAGGGCGCGAGCGUUGUCCGGAAUUAUUGGGCGUAAAGGGCUUGUAGGCGGCUUGUUGCGCCUUCUGUGAAAACGCGGGGCUUAACUUCGCGCGUGCAGUGGGUACGGGAAGGCUUGAGUGUGGUAGAGGUGACUGGAGUUCCAGGUGUAGCGGUGGAAUGCGCAGAUAUCUGGAGGAACACCGAUGGCGAAGGCAGGUCACUGGGCCAUUACUGACGCUGAGGAGCGAAAGCAUGGGUAGCGAACAGG
This 420-nucleotide ribosomal RNA is filed under the name bacterium. Its description in RNAcentral is "partial 16S ribosomal RNA". It matches the Rfam family "Bacterial small subunit ribosomal RNA", at positions 355 to 776 of the family's 1533-position model. The record is from RNAcentral.